UAAUACAGAGGGUGCGAGCGUUGUCCGGAAUCACUGGGCGUAAAGGGCGCGUAGGUGGUGGCUUAAGCGUGCGGUGAAAGCUCGGGGCUCAACCCCGAGUCGGCCGUGCGAACUGGGCUCACUGGAGCAUAGUAGAGGCAGGUGGAAUUCCGGGUGUAGCGGUGGAAUGCGUAGAGAUCCGGAAGAACACCGGUGGCGAAGGCGGCCUGCUGGGCUAUGGCUGACACUGAGGCGCGACAGCGUGGGGAGCAAACAGGAUUAGAUACCCUGGUAGUCCACGCCGUAAACGAUGGGCACUAGGUGCUUGGGGGAGCGACCCCCUGGGUGCCGGCGCUAACGCAUGAAGUGCCCCGCCUGGGGAGUACGGCCGCAAGGCUG
Molecule: ribosomal RNA, 378 nt
Filed under: uncultured bacterium
Lineage: Bacteria
Description: bacterial SSU rRNA
Rfam family: Bacterial small subunit ribosomal RNA
Source: RNAcentral